AUUGAACGCUGGCGGCAGGCCUAACACAUGCGAGUCGAAUGGUAACAGGAAACAGCUUGCUGUUUCGCUGACGAGUGGCGGACGUGUGUGUAAUGUCUGUGACACUGCCUGAUGGAGGGGGAUAAUUACUGGAAACGGUAGCUAAUACCGCAUAACGUCGCAAGACCAAAGAGCGGGACCUUCGGGCCUCUUUCCAUCAGAUGUGCCCAGAUGGCAUUAGCUAGUAGGUGGGGUAACGGCUCACCUAGGCGACGAUCCCUAGCUGGUCUGAGAGGAUGACCAGCCACACUGGAACUGAGACACGGUCCAGACUCCUACGGGAGGCAGCAGUGGGGAAUAUUGCACAAUGGGCGAAAGCCUGAUGCAGCCAUGCCGCGUGUAUGAAGAAGGCCUUCGGGUUGUAAAGUACUGUCAGCGGGGAGGAAGGGAGGAAAGUUAAUACCUGUGCUCAUUGACGGUACCCGCAGAAGAAGCACCGGCUAACUCCGUG
Molecule: ribosomal RNA, 490 nt
Filed under: uncultured bacterium
Lineage: Bacteria
Description: partial 16S ribosomal RNA
Rfam family: Bacterial small subunit ribosomal RNA
Source: RNAcentral